Molecule: transfer RNA, 65 nt
Filed under: Clangula hyemalis (long-tailed duck)
Lineage: Eukaryota; Metazoa; Chordata; Aves; Anseriformes; Anatidae
Description: tRNA-Cys
Source: RNAcentral
GCCCUGUGGUGAAGUUCAUGAUGAGUUGCAAGCUCAUUGAUGCGCGCGAGAGUGUGCCGGGGCCU